GUACGAUAAAUACAACGGAAUCUUAAAUUAAAUAGCACCUACCUCAAAAACUUCAUUUUAAUUAAAUGUUAUCCGAAUUUGAAGCGUACACGUAACGAAAAAUAAUCUUUCCCUUGAAAAUUUCCAUUCGUAUGACGUCGUGUUUUGCCAUGACGUAAAUUCGCCAAAUUCUUCAUGAAAUUUCGCGGAAUUUUAUUAAAUUUUAUUUUUAGACAUUUUCGAAGCUUUAGUGCUUUAAAUUUUUUUUUUUUGGUUAUAUAUGCACUAGAAUAGUCACAACUGUUAUGCAAUUGUUUUUAAAUCUCAAUUUGCUGAAAAUCCCGGGAUCACUGCAAGCUUGUGUAUCGCGCAUGAAUAGAUUACAAAAGUAGUUUCGUAAACAUGGUUUAUCGAAGUGUAAACUUAGAGAAAAAUUCUAAUUGACCAAUCCAAUUCAAGUAUUUAUAGAUAUACAAAUCAUAUAAGAAUUAUU
This 472-nucleotide long non-coding RNA is filed under the name Mytilus galloprovincialis (Mediterranean mussel). Lineage: Eukaryota; Metazoa; Mollusca; Bivalvia; Mytilida; Mytilidae. The record is from RNAcentral.